GUGAGGUGUAAGUCCUCAGAAUUUAAAGAGAUGGGCAAACAAGCUAAAUGGCUGAGUUAUAAACACAGGCUGCCCAAGAGGGAGGCAGCGGUAAUAAUGAAAUGCACGGUGGGAACCUCGACACACUGCACCAUAAAUCUAAAUCACUACCGUCAGCAGGACCUGGAAUUUCAGCUGAAACAAAAGACCUUGCAUCGACUGGGGAAAAAAAGAUGAGGAAACUUGGACCCAGAGAAAUGAAGAAGUGGCUUGACCAAGGUCAUACAGGAGACUCAUCAGGAAGUUCUCUGUUCAGCCAGAUGAACUUACACGGAGGUGAGCCUUUUGAUUGCAUCUCCCUCUGAAGACAGUGGGCAUGCCUAUUUGAGGAAAUCAGAAACAACAGAACAAGCAUUAGAUUUGGGUUUGUAUUCUACAUCUGCUCCUAAGAACCUUGGGCAAGUCAUUUUGUGUCCUAGGGCCUCAGUUUCCUCAACUCAUUUUUUAAAAUAAUAUUUUAUUUGAUCAUUUCCAAGCAUUAUUCAUUAAAGAUAAAGAUCAUUUUCUUUUCCUAACCACCCCCAUAGCCGAUGCAUGAUUCCACUGGGUAUCACAUGUGUUCUUGAUUCUAACCCAUUGCCAUGUUGUUAGUAUUUUCAUUAGAGUGUUCGUUUAGAGUCUCUCCUCUGUCAUGUCCCCUCAGCCACUGUAGUCAGGCAGUUGCUUUUCCUCAGUGUUUCUACUCCCACAGUUUGUCCUCUGCUUAUGGAUAGUGUUUUUUCAACCUUUGUCAGAGGUUUCUAUGAAGAUUUUUUCCCAAUUUGUUGUUUCCCUU
RNAcentral lists this long non-coding RNA (814 nucleotides) under Monodelphis domestica (gray short-tailed opossum). RNAcentral's name for it is "lncRNA (ENSMODG00000033979.2)". Lineage: Eukaryota; Metazoa; Chordata; Mammalia; Didelphimorphia; Didelphidae. The record is from RNAcentral.